RNAcentral lists this non-coding RNA (27 nucleotides) under Mus musculus (house mouse). Lineage: Eukaryota; Metazoa; Chordata; Mammalia; Rodentia; Muridae. The record is from RNAcentral.
UGUUAAGCUGAAAUCACAGAAGGGCCC